GGGGGUGUUUCGGUUUCGACUGGCGGAAGAUCAGGCCAGUGGCUGCAAGCGGAGCGCCAACUCCUAAAACUAGCAAAAACAUUUAACUGCCAAAAAAGAAGACGAAGUCUCCUUCGAAGCAGAAUACGCUCUCGCUGCGUAACAGCACGAGGACGUACAGGCCCGUCUGCUGCCGCUCUUAAGCAACGGAUACCUGUAAAAGUAAGAGCUUACCCAACCCAGUGCCUAUGGGGGGAGGGGACAUUAAAGUAGGCUACAAAGAGCGGACGUUUUGCCGGUGAACCUAACGCACUUUGGAAAUUUUGAUCACCAGCUAAGCUUGUAGACGUCCCUGGGUGGCACGUUAGGACGGGGGUUCGAAUCCCCCCACCUCCAGAA
This 378-nucleotide transfer-messenger RNA is filed under the name Sphaerochaetaceae. RNAcentral's name for it is "Sphaerochaeta sp016406725 Standard tmRNA". It matches the Rfam family "transfer-messenger RNA". Rfam says of the family: Bacterial tmRNA, also known as 10Sa RNA or SsrA, is named for its dual tRNA and mRNA-like properties. Its role is to liberate the mRNA from a stalled ribosome. Lineage: Bacteria; Pseudomonadati; Spirochaetota; Spirochaetia; Spirochaetales. The record is from RNAcentral. RNAcentral also lists the same sequence under 1 other name.